RNAcentral lists this ribosomal RNA (470 nucleotides) under uncultured bacterium. RNAcentral describes it as "bacterial SSU rRNA". It matches the Rfam family "Bacterial small subunit ribosomal RNA", at positions 430 to 896 of the family's 1533-position model. The record is from RNAcentral.
CUGCUGUCACGCUAUAGGACCCACUGGUGAACAGUCCAAGUGCUGACUAAAGCGAAAGGAAGCGCCGGCUAACUCUGUGCCAGCAGCCGCGGUAAUACAGAGGGCGCAAGCGUUAUUCGGAUUCACUGGGCAUAAAGAGCACGUAGGCGGCUACGUAAGUCGGAUGUGAAAUCCCGCGGCUCAACCGCGGAAUGGCAUCCGAUACUGCGUGGCUCGAGGUCGGAAGGGGUAAGCGGACUCCAGGUGGAACGGUGAAAUGUGUAGAUAUCUGGAGGAACACCGGUGGCGAAGGCGGCUUACUGGUCCGAAUCUGACGCUGAGGUGCGAAAGCUAGGGGAGCGAACGGGAUUAGAUACCCCGGUAGUCCUAGCCGUAAACGAUGGGCACUAGGCAAUGGAUCAUCCCUAUGGGGUUCAUUGCCGUAGCAAAUGUGUUAAGUGCCCCGCCUGGGGAGUACGCUCGCAAGGGUA